Molecule: long non-coding RNA, 491 nt
Organism: Salvia splendens (bonfire salvia)
Lineage: Eukaryota; Viridiplantae; Streptophyta; Magnoliopsida; Lamiales; Lamiaceae
Exons: 3
Source: RefSeq, a predicted model, not a curated record
CUCAACUCUCUCCCUCUCCCUCUCCCUUUCAAGUGCUCCAAACCAAUUCUUCACAAAUUCUUCAUUCUUGCUUUGAUUUGGAGUUGGAAACUCAAAGAUCCAUUGAAAAAUCAAACCACUAGUCACUUCUACCGAUUGUUUUUCAAGGGAAAGGGUUAUGGUGCGUACGUGAGUACGAAGAAGCAAGAGUCGUGAUAAAGUUGUGAACUGUGAAUUAUAGGCAAGAGAGGUUGAGUGGUGAUGUUGUGGUGGAUGUUGAGUCGAGCCUUAAAAAUUUCCAGAUGCGUCGUGUCGUCAUACAUGGGCGUUAUCCCAUGACUCUCUAGAUACCUUUAUUCCGCUGUCUUGUUUUGAUUUGUUUAUCUAAAGUCUUCCGCUUUACCCUAGACUGCUUCUAUGACAUUAACUACUUUGAGAUAUUAAUUCCGCUGUUUGACUAUUUAAUAGUAUGAGAUAUUCCUUUUGAAGUUUAGUUAAGUUUCGAGUUAAAU